RNAcentral lists this ribosomal RNA (370 nucleotides) under uncultured bacterium. RNAcentral describes it as "bacterial SSU rRNA". It matches the Rfam family "Bacterial small subunit ribosomal RNA", at positions 143 to 507 of the family's 1533-position model. The record is from RNAcentral.
AUAACGCAGCGAAAGUUGCGCUAAUACCGCAUACGAUCUACGGAUGAAAGCGGGGGAUCGCAAGACCUCGCGCGAUUGGAGCGGCCGAUAUCAGAUUAGGUAGUUGGUGAGGUAAAGGCUCACCAAGCCAACGAUCNGUAGCUGGUCUGAGAGGACGACCCAGCCACACUGGAACUGAGACACGGUCCAGACUCCUACGGGAGGCAGCAGUGGGGAAUUUUGGACAAUGGACGCAAGUCUGAUCCAGCCAUUCCGCGUGCAGGAUGAAGGCCCUCGGGUUGUAAACUGCUUUUGUACGGAACGAAAAGGUUUGUCUUAAUACGAUGAGCUCAUGACGGUACCGUAAGAAUAAGCACCGGCUAACUACGUG